GGAAUCUUCCACAAUGGACGCAAGUCUGAUGGAGCAACGCCGCGUGAGUGAAGAAGGUUUUCGGAUCGUAAAGCUCUGUUGUUGGUGAAGAAGGAUAGAGGCAGUAACUGGUCUUUAUUUGACGGUAAUCAACCAGAAAGUCACGGCUAACUACGUGCCAG
Molecule: ribosomal RNA, 161 nt
Filed under: uncultured bacterium
Lineage: Bacteria
Description: partial 16S rRNA
Rfam family: Bacterial small subunit ribosomal RNA
Source: RNAcentral